Molecule: ribosomal RNA, 1372 nt
Filed under: uncultured bacterium
Lineage: Bacteria
Description: bacterial SSU rRNA
Rfam family: Bacterial small subunit ribosomal RNA
Source: RNAcentral
GAUGAACGCUGGCGGCGUGCCUAAUACAUGCAAGUCGAGCGAACGGACGAGAAGCUUGCUUCUCUGAUGUUAGCGGCGGACGGGUGAGUAACACGUGGAUAACCUACCUAUAAGACUGGGAUAACUUCGGGAAACCGGAGCUAAUACCGGAUAAUAUUUUGAACCGCAUGGUUCAAAAGUGAAAGACGGUCUUGCUGUCACUUAUAGAUGGAUCCGCGCUGCAUUAGCUAGUUGGUAAGGUAACGGCUUACCAAGGCAACGAUGCAUAGCCGACCUGAGAGGGUGAUCGGCCACACUGGAACUGAGACACGGUCCAGACUCCUACGGGAGGCAGCAGUAGGGAAUCUUCCGCAAUGGGCGAAAGCCUGACGGAGCAACGCCGCGUGAGUGAUGAAGGUCUUCGGAUCGUAAAACUCUGUUAUUAGGGAAGAACAUAUGUGUAAGUAACUGUGCACAUCUUGACGGUACCUAAUCAGGAAGCCACGGCUAACUACGUGCCAGCAGCCGCGGUAAUACGUAGGUGGCAAGCGUUAUCCGGAAUUAUUGGGCGUAAAGCGCGCGUAGGCGGUUUUUUAAGUCUGAUGUGAAAGCCCACGGCUCAACCGUGGAGGGUCAUUGGAAACUGGAAAACUUGAGUGCAGAAGAGGAAAGUGGAAUUCCAUGUGUAGCGGUGAAAUGCGCAGAGAUAUGGAGGAACACCAGUGGCGAAGGCGACUUUCUGGUCUGUAACUGACGCUGAUGUGCGAAAGCGUGGGGAUCAAACAGGAUUAGAUACCCUGGUAGUCCACGCCGUAAACGAUGAGUGCUAAGUGUUAGGGGGUUUCCGCCCCUUAGCGCUGCAGCUAACGCAUUAAGCACUCCGCCUGGGGAGUACGACCGCAAGGUUGAAACUCAAAGGAAUUGACGGGGACCCGCACAAGCGGUGGAGCAUGUGGUUUAAUUCGAAGCAACGCGAAGAACCUUACCAAAUCUUGACAUCCUUUGACAACUCUAGAGAUAGAGCCUUCCCCUUCGGGGGACAAAGUGACAGGUGGUGCAUGGUUGUCGUCAGCUCGUGUCGUGAGAUGUUGGGUUAAGUCCCGCAACGAGCGCAACCCUUAAGCUUAGUUGCCAUCAUUAAGUUGGGCACUCUAAGUUGACUGCCGGUGACAAACCGGAGGAAGGUGGGGAUGACGUCAAAUCAUCAUGCCCCUUAUGAUUUGGGCUACACACGUGCUACAAUGGACAAUACAAAGGGCAGCGAAACCGCGAGGUCAAGCAAAUCCCAUAAAGUUGUUCUCAGUUCGGAUUGUAGUCUGCAACUCGACUACAUGAAGCUGGAAUCGCUAGUAAUCGUAGAUCAGCAUGCUACGGUGAAUACGUUCCCGGGUCU